UUUGUCAUUCAGUUGCCAGUGUAGACAUAGCCUUAGAAACAAAGAAAUUGUGUCUUUUUUUUAAGCAACUAGGGGGAAGGCCAGAUGGGAGGCUGCUUAGCAGUGUCCUCUGAACCCCUGCCAUAGUGUGAAACAGAGAACAAGUUGUCCUAUCAGCUAGGGGAUGGCUUGUAGGUCAGUCAGAGACCACAGGGCUCAAUUAUCUGACAACAGAGUUUGUAAGGAUUUUAGGAAUGGCUAAUAUUGUGGCAUGCAGAAGGUCAGCAGUGCAAGCCUUAAGUACUGCUCAUUCCCUGUCCAGAGAUAAACAAUCCUGAUAGUUAGCCAGGUUGAGGUAAUACAGGGACCUAUAAAGACUAACAGCUACCCCUUUCAAACAGAGACCUAUGUAACUGCUGGUUCAACAGUCACCCAUGCCCUCCUGACCCAGACAGCAGGAUUAUAACAUAGCUCCUCCCAGUGCUUGUCUAGUGAGUCAUGCCACAGUGCUAGAUGGUGAAUCAGGUAUUUUCAGCAUAAAGAUCAAUCUUCAAUGGUGAUCUCAGUGUUGCUGUUAUGCCAUCAACAUCUACUUGAACUGUAACCCUUCAGUUACUGCACAACUGCCAGUGACUUAAACUUUCUCAUUAGAAGAGCUUUUUAAAUUACUGGAAGUUAUAUCAGGCACAGACUUCAUAGAUAAACCAAAGAUUUCUUCAGCUGUCCAUGAGAAGAGGUGAUACCUUAUUUGACAAACUUCUCAUGGAGAGAGAAAGAAGCUUUGGAGUUUACACAGAGCUGCUGUAUGGGGUCUGGGAAAAGGUACUCAGUGUCUCUGCUAAAUAAAAGGUGAAACACAUGGUUUAGCAUAAGCAGUUAACUGGCCACUUCACCUUCUGUGGUCCCUUAACAUCUCCAGUCAUUUGGGGGGAAGGGGGGAGAAUUACAAACACUAAAGAAAAGGUGGUAGUGAUUUAACAAACGAGAUAGUAUAUCACUGUGGAUGAGGUAAGCCAAGAGAUGGUAAACCCUUUUCAAGCAAACAAAUGGGUUAAGUGUACACAUUAUUCCAAGGGUCAGGAAUGCUGUUAGUUUAUUAUAAUAUGUCAAAUGAGACAUCAGGUUAAAGAAUCAUAUUGCUGAAUGGCUCUAUCAUGUCAUCAGAGCUGUAACUAAAGCCUACUAAACUUAGGGUGCAAAUAUUUAUCCGAUGUGCCAGACUGGAAAAUGCGAAGUACAUUCCUGCCAGCAGUUUAAAUUGAAGUCUCAUUAUAGAAGGUGUUUGUGCAGUGCAUCUUGGCUAUUGGUUAGACAGUGGUUAACUUAUUACUUUAACUCAGCAAUUACACAAGCUAAAGCUCUCUAGGGACCAAAUCCAAACACACACUGAAAUCAAGACGUUUCUUUACUUUAGUGGGUGCAGGAUCAGGUCCUAAAUCCCAACCAGUAAGUUAAAUUAUCAAAAUAGAGUCCACUAAGAACCAUUAUUUUGAUGGAAGAGAAAAGGUGAAGGCUGACAGACACGGAGUAAACAAGGCUGCUUCAGAAAAGCAGAACUGCACUAGAAUGAAAAUGCAAAUCCUGCUGCUAAAUCCAUUCAGAUCUGUAAUUUGAGGGAGAGCUGACACAUUCUGUUUCACCCUCCUCCCUGCUUAGCUGAAUAAGGGAAAUUUUCCACUUGGUGCUGUGCUUCCUAGCCACAAAAACAGCAAGUAAAGCUGUUGUGCCCUUUGCAAAGAAACAGCUGUUUCAACGGACGCAGUCUGUAUUGACUAAUUCAGUUCCUAUUUCCUUGGAAAACCAUCCCAAGCCCCAACUAAAAAAAGCCUCUUCAGUUUCCUGCAUUUUUUUUUUUAAGUAGCACAUUGCUCCAUAACAUAUGGGGAUCAAAGAGUUAUGAAGGGCUCUACCUUUCCAAGGAGCACGAAAGAGGCCAAGCAAACAGCAGAGGAACACUGGUGAGAGCACCCUGCAGAUUUAUAUUUACUUUGUGCCUUUUCAUCCCAGGUUUUCAAAGGUUUGGUCCAGGUUGCUCUUCCUGGGAAGGUUUUCCUCUCAGUCUUACAUGAAAACAUUCAGCUUCCUGUUGAGGAAUGGCCUUGAGGCGCCAGGCCAGUAGUUCACAGCAGUCUGAUACAAGUGCUGGGAUUCAGAACUACUCCCCAUUAGCAGCCACCAAUGUCUACUUCACUGAAGGAAAUGAAAUGCUCUUCUGUUGAGAUGAUUCCCUACCUCCUCCCCCUUCCCUUACCAGCAAGCCGUCUUUGAAGUCAUGAGGUUAAAAUAAUGACCACGGCCUUGCUCUGGCCUUACAUUUUUAAACUGGGACCUUUACUUUCUGAGUCAAAGUACAAUCGUAGCAAUUCCUGGCUCACAUUUUCAUAACCUCUCCUUAUUCCUUUUUCCCCCACCAAUAAAAGGAGGCUGCUUACGUGAUUCCAAUUGUACAAGGGGGUAUUAAAAAGGAGGCCUAAAGUUAUUGUUUCCAGGGUAAUACUACAGAAAAUUACACAGUAGUUACCCUGAAAAUGAGGGCUAGGAUAUGGUUUUCCAUAGCUGCCUGUUUUUUAAGGCUAUGGACUUGAAAGUAACUUCUACUGCUGAUAGACCAAACAGUACCUUUAAAAAAACCUGAACUAUGGAGUUGCCUUAAAGAUAUAAAACAGGUCAAAUCAGGAUUCUUUUCAAGAAACCACAGGCAUGUGCUAAGGAGACUGAAGACUUCCCACAUCUGAGACUUCACUGGGGGGCUGCAGCUGAAGUCUGUCCAAGCCAGGCAUGCCCCAGCAAAGCCCAAUCCACAAGUGAAGUCGGCGCAAUCAAAGACUGCAAUUACAGUUCCCUGGCUGUGGUUAGGCUUCAAAGAAAGUGCUGCAAGUCACAUUUUACAUAUGUGAAGUCUUGAGCCUGAGCCACAGCCUGCCAUUUGCACUGUACAUCAGACUGCAGAAAACAUACACACCCCUCUCUGUCUUUGGAAUAAGUAACUUCAAUGGAAAUAAAAUCAAACAUAAAAAGCUCUUAGAUUUUGAUAAAGCUGAACUUCAGCAACUAGCAACCCCAGACUUAUGAUUCACAAUUGGCUGUUGGUGAAAAAACAAAUGAUUUUUGCUUUCCAAAAAAAGAGUGACCAAAGUUUUGCACCUUUUUCCUCCCUACUCUUUGCAAUGAAAUGGAAUGAAUCCUAGUCCCUGGAGGCCUUAUCAGCUUCAUCUCACAGAACGUUACAAAAUAAAGUUACUCAUCUUCAUGAUUAAACAAAGUUUAGGGAGGAUGAUGGGGAUUACAGAGAUUCAUCCAAUUCAGACCAGUUAUUGGAAGCGGGGUAUGUAAAUAGCCUUACAAGAAGUGGUGGAUAAAAGGGAGAACUACUAGCCCUCUGGAAAAGGCUAUUUGAGAACAAAUGUGCUUUAAAAUGGGCUGUAUUUGCCUGGUUUUUCCACAGCACUUUGGUGUGGGGCAGUGGAAGGAAGGGUAGGGUGGGGGGGGGGGGGGGGAGGAUUUCAAUUACAAAACCUGCUUUUUAUUAGUGAGUUUUGAAUGACAUGUCAAACUAUGUCCUGAGCAAAACUAAUUAGAAAUCCAAAUAUGUUAUUUUCUUUUGGAGUUUGCAGAACUACGGCUAAAGGCCCAACUUAUUGCUACUGUUUCUCAAUAUUAAAGACACAAGUAAACAGAAGAAAAAAAAAGCCACUAGUACAUUCUUAGACUGAAGCAUUUAAAGUUACACACACACACACAGAGGCCUUAUCUACCCAGGAAAUUCUUAGUUUCUUCAUCCAUGCUAGCACCAGUUCGGCUCCAUUGCUGGUAGUUACAGUGGGAUUACUAGCGUGAUGCUGAUGCAGCAGCAUCUGCUGCUGUUUUAUAUGAAAUGAGUCAAACCUACUCCACAGCAGGGUUAAUGACAGGGCUUAAAGUGCCAGUGGCUACCUAAAGCCCUAGGGCUCCCUCCCACUGGUGGAGUAGAACCAGCAGCAGAUUUUGUUAAAGGCAUUCUAGAGAGCCUGAAGAUGACCCUCAAACUAUCACUGUUACAGUGUUUGAAGGGAUGAUACUGGAAACUCUGGACCUGUUCUUUCCAUUUCAGACAAGGAACUGUGUAGUUUAUAGUAAAAACUUCAGGUUACCUCUAGGCAGCCAAGACUCCAGCAGCUUCUUUGAGAGAAGAAUGAUCAGUAUAUUAAGACCUGCAAGGGAGGAAAAAUGGGUUUGUGCCCUUUUUGCUUCUUUAUGAUGUAUAAUGAACAUUUGAAGGAAUAAACCUUUCAGAAGAGGUGGGGAGGUUGCUUUAUUUUACACAUUAGAAAUUCAGUUCGUGUCUACACUAUUCCUGCUGAAAGAUUUGGUCUGAUAGAAGAAAGAGUAUAAUAUCACAAGUAUCAAGGAAGUAAAACCUGCACAAUUGAGAGGAGAGGGAAAUUUAGUCAAGGUUUCAAAUUUUGUAACUCACAACAUUAACUCAAGCACCUGACAGUGUCAGGAGGAAAGAUUCCCUUCAAUUCUCUUAUGUUCCAAGAAAGUAGCUUGCAAUAACAGGGAAAACUGGAUAUUCUUGAUACUUUAAAAGUAAAUCAAGUAAAAAUUUCUUCAGAUAAAAAAGAAGCAAAAAAUGGCAAAAACUUUUUUCCUUGUAAAUCACAUUUAAGCUAUACAUAUUUUUUUCCACUGCAUGCAUCCGAUGAAGUGAGCUGUAGCUCACGAAAGCUUAUGCUCAAAUGAAUUUGUUAGUCUCUAAGGUGCCACAAGCACUCCUUUUCUUUUUGUGGAUACAGACUAACACGGCUGCUACUCUGUAACCUGUCAUUUAAGCUAUAGCAAGUACAGUUUUUGGUUCGACUUUUAACACUGAUUUGAAGAACCAACCUCAAAAUUCAGCCUAUGCUCAUGAAUGAGUUAAUUCAGAAAUUUUAUAUUGGAACAAAUAUCUCUCCGAUGUUACAGCCAUCUGUUUUUACAUAGUUCCAUUAACUCCCUCUUUCCCAAGUCCACAGUUUCCAGUGCAAAGUAGCAAUGCAAAGAACUCACUAUCCCAGCACCAGGGAUUCCAAAGGCUCAAUCAUCAUUUCCUAACAACCACCAACUGCUACAAACAAACAAAAACCUUAUCUCUGUUGUAAUCUCAAGUGGAGUAGGUACAUAAGGCAAAUAGCAAUAAACAUCUGUCUCCAAUUCUAACAAACAACAACAACUCCUCCUCAAGAGGGGAUAAAUUUGCAAGAAAAAACAUAUCACAACUAUUUUAACAAAAAGCUUUCAUCAACUUUCAAGUGAGUGCAAAUUUUUCCACAAUGGAACCUGGAGCUAUUUUUGCACUAAAAUUCUACCUUCUGACCUUUGAAUAUACUGAGGGAGGCUGUGCUUUCCAAAAGCAUAUGCUGGGAAUCAGUGUCAAGAAUUCUAAUUCCACCUAAAUGAGAGCAGAUUUCAUAAACAUUAUCCCUAUUUUUAUAAUGAGGAAGCAGACUCAGAAAAAGUAAAUGGACCUGCUCACAUAAUAGCACAGACGAAUCUACAUCAGCAGAUCCAUGCAGGGGAAGAGGUCGUCCUGUCCUUCCCCAUCCAGGCCAGGACUAGCAGCUAGGAGCCCCCUGGCUGGGGUGCUCCCAGCAGCACAGGGGAGAUCAGACCCACGUCCAGAAACCUCCCCUGACUUCAGGAAGCUGCAUGGCUGCUGCUGUCAAAGCUCAACUCUGAAGGUAGUGCAGAAGUGAGGGUGGCAAUCCCAUCACACACACACACCCACCCACCCCUCCCCUCGUCACAACAGCUUUGCAACCUGAGGGUGGCAAUCCCGUCACACACACACACACCCCCACCCACCUACCCCUCCCCUCGUCACAACAGCUUUGCAACCCGCCGACUUCUUUUUGUAUCGGGACUCUCAGUUACAAUAUUGUGAGCUUUCAGAUGUAAACAUCUGAAAAUGACUAAUUUUAAAGCCCUCUGGCCAUGAAAUUGAUCAAAAUGGACCAUGAAUUUGGUAGGGCCCUACCUAUAUGUAUAGCUGUGGAAGCCUUAACCCUGCACACCUUCAGAUUUUUGCUCAUGGGUCAAAGACUUUAAACUGGGGAGAGGAUCAAAGAUUAAAUAAAUAGACUUGUCUGGGGGGCAUUGAGAGCUAGUUGUUUAAGUACCAGAUCAGGCUCAGGAGACUGGUUCAGUUAACAAUUGGCAGAAGUCACUUUGCCAAGUCAAAACCUCUGAGCCUCAGGUUGCUUAUCUGUAAGAUGGUUGUUUUCAUGUUUACUUUACUACAUAAUGUUAGAGUGUUUCCUAAGUGCAAAGUACUAUAAAAUGCCAGCCAGUGGUAGAGGGGAAUAAAACUCAGGACUAGAGCUGGUCAGAGAAACAUCAAUGGAACCAUAUUCUGUUGGAAUAUUCAGUUCCAUUGAAACUGAAACGCUUCAUGAUUUGCUUCAUUUUGCCAAAAUUUCAUUUCAGGAGGGAAAAAAAGAAAAAAUUCUGAAGGUCAAAACAGGAUGUUUUGAACAUUUUUAGGACAAAAUAUUUUGAUUUUGAAACUACUUAUAACUUUUGUAAAGGAGAAUUCUGAAAUUUUCAGGUUUCCUUCUCAUUUGAAAUUAAUCUAGAUUUUGAAAUCUUAAAAUAUUUUAUGAAACGAUUUCCAUCCUCUACACAAGGCUCUACUCAGAACUUCAGUUACCUGUCUGGUGCUAAAUUCACUAAACCAUGCAAUUUUGAGCAGGUGUGGAGGUGGACUAUCAGCAGCCUCCCCUCCUCCUUCCCAAAGGUCAAAAUUAGAGCAAAAGUUUCCCAUUCCCCCCUCAUUCCAAUAACACCUUAAAAGUUUUUGUUUGUUUUAAUAUUGUCUAUGGAGGGGAUCAUUAUAAAAUUUCAAGAUCUUGUAAAACAACCCCUGCCUCACAGAAAUUUCCUUUGAAAUAGGGUUUUGUUUUAUUAAUUAAAAAUGUUGGUUCUAAUUAGUCAACACUGAUUUACUUACUUUUUGGACUUCAUAAGUUUGGAGUAUGAAAAGGGACAAGUCAGUUUCACUUGUGUAUAGCUCAUCUGAUUUCACUUUCUAGCUCUUGUAGCAGAGUAUGUGGGUUGCAAAUAUUGCAAGUUGGGAUUUCAAUGCCAAUCAACUUAAUAGUUUAAAUCCAUGGAAUCACUUUGACCUUAAAUUUAUAAAGAAAAAGGUUAGAAAAUGUAUGUGUUCACCCUAGAUUCACCUGCUACUGGUCCCUUAAAAAUCAAAAGCAACAAACCACACACUAUGCCCUAGGUAACAGAUGGAGACAUGGCACAAAAACUUAAUAGGGUUAUUCUGUUAUCUUUUGGCAUUUGUAGUAGAUAAGUAGAAGAAUGCUCUAUUCCUCAUCUCUCCCAACAGGUGUCACCGUAUUCUCUACGUGUAACCUGAAUAGGACAAUUUUUUUUUUUUUUUUUUGAAAAAAAUGUUUGUCUUUUUUGUUUCUUCUUCAUGUAUGAACACCUGAAGGGAGGAGACUUAUUUGUUUGUCUUUCACCUUAGAAAUGUCACUAUCAAAUCUGAUCUCCCCUGGGUUUUCUGGCAGACCUGCUGUAUACGUUAAGUCCAUAUGUGCUUUUACACAUUCUUUGAAGCUUCAACAAAAGAUACCUAUUUCCAAAAUGUUAGUCCCUGAUAUUAACACCUGUUUCAACAAAAACAUUUUAAAUAGCUUGACAAAUUAUCUUCUGCUCAGUGGCCUGGUUCUCACUCAACACAUGAUAUUCUCAUCAUUACCCUAGUUCUCCAGCCAACAGAGAGCUUCCAGGGUAGACAAGACCUAAUUUCUCAUGUGAGAACAGAUUUUUUUAAAAAUGUAAAUAAGCUUUAUACAUCAUAAAGCAUCAGAGGAAACCACGCACUUUGCUGGUCACUUAAGACUUAGAAUUAGAUUCACUGUUGUAGUCAUAUUGCCAUGUUUAAGGGAAAGUGGCGGGUAAUUAUUUUCACCAUUAUAGUUUAGGGUAUUGAUAAGCCAUACUAGAGUGAACACCUCUCUCUUGCUUCUCUGCCAGGGUCACAAUGUUUACACCUCAAAAAUACUUCUGCUGCCAGCCACCUUGCCUGUAUCCAAACACACUUUACUAGAACACCACUGUGAGCCACAAAGGAAAUUUAUAAGCAUUAAAGUAAAGUAAAUAACCACCCCCCACAACUCCUGACACAUUAACACAUCCAGGGUCACAUUUUUUAUGUUCUCCACACCUACAGGAUCUCUACUUACUGAGCUCUCCAAUCUGUCACUGGAUUGCUUUUAUUUUUUUGCUCAUCUAACAGCAAUUUAAAGAGCUUUACCACACAAGCGAUAAGAUGUGUACUUCAUCUUUAUGUUUCUACAUGACAUCGGCCAGGAAACUAUCUGACCAAGUUCUUUUCCAUGUAUUGUAUUAUUUAUGGAAGUAGGUUUGAUCUAGUUUACAUUAUUCUUGUCAUCGUCUCACUCAUUUCCACUACUAUUUAGAAAUAAAUUUUCUUGUUUUGGAUUCGUUAGUUACCCACUAUUCAAAAUGUCAUCCCCUUUUUUAAUUGCAUUUUGUUCCAAUAUUCCUGUAAGGGAAUGGAUACUUAAAUGUAAAAUAAUUCAUCUUCCACUUAAGCUUCACACACACACACACAAAAUCAAAAUAAGCCUCUUUAAUAUGUUUUGAUUGUAAAUAAAAAUUAUUCAGGUUUUGUCCUCAUGUUUGAGAGUGCUGCUGAACUAAAUGCUAGUCCUACCAAAUUGUUGAAAGCUGCAAAUAAGGAUAUUUAAUUCUCCCAGCUUUAUUCCUAAUUAUUUUAUCACUCCUUAACUAGUGGAGAACUUGACAAAUGGCAGGGUGCAAAUCAUUAAGUGAUAUGCCAGUCGCAGUUCUUGUACAUGUCAAGUUAAAUAUUUCCACAUUUCAGUGUAACAAUCUAGAGUAGGUUUUUUGUAAGUUUGUUUUUUAGUUGCACCUUUCCAGCAAUUUAGUAGUUAUUCUCAGUUCAUAAUGAGAAAAAGCAGCUUUUUUGAUUCUGUUAAAAUAAAAAUUCAAUAAAGGAAUCUGAAAUCUCCACUUUCUGCACAGAAGUUGCUCCCAUUUAUGGGUUUGCGAAGGAUGCUUGCAUUCAGAGUAUACAAGCUGUCUCACCUGCCCCCUCAAGAAAGAUGUUUUCAUUAUCAAUUCAUUGAUCUGAAGCCACCCUCUCCACCAAAAAUGCAACUUUUACCAUUGUAGAAUCUCAAUGUUACGAACACCAGAGUUACGAACUGACUGGUCAACUACAUGCUUCAUUUGGAACGAGAAAUGAUGGAGAUGGAAGGCAGAAGAGGAAGAAGAGGAAGAUGAAGAAAGGAAAAGCAAAUACUGUACACUACUGUGUUAAAGUACUAAAAAAUAAAAGGGAAAGUUUAAUAAAAGUUUUGACGAGGCAAGGAAACGGUUUCUGGGUUGUUGCAUUUAAAUUAAAAUGGCUAAAAACAGCAUUUUUCUUCUGCCUAGUAAAGUUUCAAAGCUGAAUUAAGUCAAUGUUCAGUUGUAAACUUUUGAAAGAACAACCGUAACAUUUUGUUCAGAGUUAUGAACAACCUCCAUUCCUCAGGUGUUCAUAACUGAGGUUCUACUGUAUUCUGUAUUUAGAACUGAAUUUAGUGCUCAAGGAGGAGAGUGUUGGAUUGGCAGUCCUUGACGAUGAAUGAAAUUGUACUUUAUUUAUCCAUGAAACAAACACUCUGCCAACAUGUUUCCACAGUGCUCCGGAAGGCCAUCUUUAGGGGUGAAAAGGUAGCUCAGUCUCCUUGCCCAUUUAUUUCUUGAGCCCUUUGUGUUCAUCUGCUAAAAAGAAUGCCAAAGUAUAGUGGUGGUUUUUACAGUCUACACCUUUGCACUAGAAACUGACUAUCAGCUCACAAGCCUAGCUUCAGAUAAGCCACCAAAUGACAAAACAGCUUUCGGCAGCUACCACCUUAGAUAACAUUCAAGGGAGUGGCCGAGAAAUAAAGGCUUCAUAUCAAUAGUGCUCCCAUGAGCCAUCCACUCCCCACUUUAGUUAUGGUAAACUUUUACAGAAUCAUAAUUCAGAGUGACCAUGAAGGACACUUGUUUUGUUUUUUAUUUCUCAGCUCUCCUUUUAACUAUUAAUCUGCAAACACUUCAGGAUUUAAGGGCUAGCACAGAGAGGCAGACUCACACAUGCAUUAAGUCGCUGUCAGUGUGUGGAUGUUCUUGUUUGACUUGAGGUGUUACAAUAGCUGGAUGAGGGAUUCCAGUUGUGUGAGGGCCUGGAGGACCAGGAAUCAUAUGAUGUGAAAACCUAAAAACAAACCAAGUAGAGAGUCUGUAACAAUAGGAAGAACAGGCUGCAUAUCCAAAACUUGUACUUUAGCAGUAGAACACAACAGAGCUUGCAACGAAGAAGAUGUAAAAAUUAGUUAGCAAAGAUUCAUGCAUUGUAUCUAAGCUUAUUCAAAAUAGGCCAACAUUUUGGACUGAAGAAGUUAUUUUAUUACCUCUCAGAUAAAGAGAUGGCAAUGUGCACAAGGAGGUGUAACAUACCUAUUGUUGCACUAGACAUCAAUAAAAAUACACAUUCCCUUAACCAAAAAGUACAUUUCCACAGCAGCAUAUAAAUACUGAAAAUAUCCAUCACCAGCCAACAAAGGAGGGAACUGCCAUGCGGGGGGCGGGGGAGCAAAAAGGAAGAGAAGAGUCCUUCCAAAAAAACCCCAUAGGUAUGUCUGUAUUUAGUUUUGAACCUUUUGCUUUUCAAAACAUUUUAAAGUAAACAUGUAAGGGUCCAAGAUCGUUUCCCCUAUAACCCUACUUCUCCAACACUCUGCGCUAAUCUUUUAACUCUGAAUGCAAAUCUGGUAUUCUGGAAGGAAAAACCAACUGGUUCUUCCAGAACUAGAUUUCUUUCCCUUUCAUUAUGUCACGGCAGAAGAAAAAAAAUCAUCCUCUUAAUCGGGGUGCGCUCCUCGAAGUGCUGAGCAUUCUGACUCCAGUCAAGCAAUGCACUUAAGCACAUGCUUAUCUUUGAGCAUGCGAAAUAGUCUCACUGCUGUCAAAGCAAGCACGUGCUUCAGUAGCUUGCUGGACUGCAGUCCCAAGUGGUCAGUACUUGCAGGAUCAAGCCCAAAAAGAGAGCAGUUUACUGCAUUUGUUAGUGUUAAAGCUUAUGCUACAGUGAUUUGCACAAGAGAACGUAGUAACCCAACAGAAUGAGGUGGGAAGGGGCAAAGUUUGUUGUGGGGAGAGUAGCUGUUUUCCUCUUGGAUAACCUGACUGAGACAUGCUUGUAGUUUACCUGAAAAGGAGUAGAGGAAGAGUAAUUAAACACAGAAACCCAUAUAAAAAGUUGUGAGGAGACCACCACUUAAGUGGACAAUCCAAAUCCCAGUGUGAAAGCAAAGCAAAAUGCAGAGAUGGGACAUUGCAACCUUGUGUACACCAAGCACAGGAUGUGUAAGGCAUCUUUCCAGAGUGCAAAAGCAUUACACAGAGAAGAUUUGGAGUUUGGCAUGGCCAAGUCUCAGUUAACAUUGCUUGCUUGCUUGCACUAAUAUGCAAACAUAGUGCCUGAUUCACACACCAGUACAGACAGUGUGUGUAUUUACAGCUUGUUGGCAUCCCUUUCCUUCUAAUAGCUCUGGGCUAAGAAAUUCAACUUGGGAGUAGUUCUGCAUAUUUCCACAUGGCACACUACCCAAUUUGAACUAUUUAAGAGUGUAAUUACAUAAUUCAAACUAGAAUGAGAAGUUUUGCCUGGUUUCAUAUUUGAAGAAUAAAAUCUUGGGUAUUUCCUAAUAUAGUGUGUCUAACAAUAAUGCCCAUUUUAUAUUAAAUGGUUUGAUUAACGGUUAACACAGUUCGUAAGUGUUUCUAAUGUCAAUAUUUCACUGACUGCCAGGAAAAUGCUGAAUGAGACUAGUGUGGGAUCCAGGCAAACUGUACAUACACAAACAUUUUAAAUAAAAAUUAUACAUACAUUUUUCGCUGACUGAAAAGUAAGCAAAGGCAGACCAAGAUGCAAGCAGAAGAGCAACUUGCCCUUUAAUGCCAGCAGUUACUCCCCAUUCAGUCAUUCACCUCCUACACCUACCUGGACAUGGAAGGGUCGACUGAGAGUGAGGAUGGGUAGGGCUGCCUGAAUCCACUCGAGAUGGGAUAUACAGGCUGACCUUGCCUGAGGUCACAGAAGAAAGGAACCCAUCAAUAAUAUGAUAUUGUAUUAAAAGAUACCCUAGAGUCACAAGCACUUGAUGGGCACUCAGCAUGGUAGCAUAAACAGUUAUCUGCCAUGUAUUCUGUAGCUCAUGGGUGUCUACAUGCUUGCAUUGAAUAAGAUUUCUCUCUCACCCACUGAAAAGAUAUUCAUUAUCUAGGUUUUGUUUAAAAAAAACCAAACCAUUGCCUAAUUUUAAGUCAUUGGGCCAGAUUCCAAUACCCUCAACUCCUGUGGAACAGCAGUCCCAAUGCAAUCAAUGUACGAGUACCAGAAUCUGGCCCACUGUUAGUGUAUUUACAGUGAGUCCCACAGAACUAUUUGGAGAGUUUUCUUUUCUUUUUUUUUUUUUGGGGGGGGGGGCGGAAUCUUUGAAACCGUGGGACUGUCUUCAUUUUGCAUCUUGUAUAGCAUGUCACAAGUUGUCAGCACUUUUAAGAAGCUAAAGAAAACUUUAUAUUUUAUUAAUAAAAUAUAAAUAAAAUGAAAGUACAUUUUAGUCACUUGGGCUUAAGGUUCUUUUUUGUUUUUGCGCAAUCAAGUGACUAAAACCAGCUCAUUUGAAAUCCCACCAUUCUUUAGAAUUUCUUAAAGAUAUUGUCUCUCUAUAUGACAGGUUUCAGAGUAACAGCCGUGUUAGUCUGUAUUCGCAAAAAGAAAAGGAGUACUUGUGGCACCUUAGAGACUAACCAAUUUAUUUGAGCAUGAGCUUUCGUGAGCUACAGCUCACUUGAGCUGUAGCUCACGAAAGCUCAUGCUCAAAUAAAUUGGUUAGUCUCUAAGGUGCCACAAGUACUCCUUUUCUUUUUGUCUCUCUAUAUGGAAUUCUAUCACCAAUUAAUGCUUCAAAACACUUUGAACUUUUUCUGCUUAGUUCACAUCAUCUUUACUUCCAGUUGGUGUUGAUGCAACUCUUGAACAAGGAUUAAUGCACUUAAGUAACGAAGUUCAGACAGAAUAAUUGAUCCAGCUUUGAAAGACUAAGCACAAUCAAUUCUAUUCAAACACUUAUUGAUAGACAGAUUUAGUGUUAAACUGGGAUUUCCAAAGCUGCUGGCAUUUAUAAUGCUCAGGAUAACAGUUUUCACACUUCAAGUGAGCGUGUGUGUUGGGGGGUGGGGGGGAGAACAGUGCUCAAAACCAGAAAAAAAAAGUGGUAGAAAUCUCAGUAAUCCUGCAGCACAGAAUUGAGCUGGAAGGAGGCAGAGCAUAACGGACUGUGGAAUAUGUUCAGGUAUGAGCGAGCACUGCUGAACAGAUUUCCAAAUUUGACAAUUAGCUAGUCUCUCCUUUUCUUCCUUCUCCUUUCAGUUUCCUUCCUCCCUUCCACACCCUCCCACUUUCUGGAUCAAGAAACUAUUCAGAAGAAGUGUUGUCACUUAACCAAAGCUGGCAAAAGGACCACUAGAAAUCAUCUGGUAGUGGUGGAGGCAGCGGCUCAGUCUCGAGACCAGUGAACAUUAAACUGGAAAUCAGGUGCUCUGUCUUUGCUAUUAACUUACUAUGUGGCUUUCAGCAAGUGAUUUUUGUCCUGAUUCCACAAGGCCCAGAGCUCAGACUCAGACUUUACGUCCAGAAGGGACCAUCAUGAUCAUCUAGUCUCACCUUACCUCUUGCACACUGCAGGCCACAGAACCUUGCCCAGCCACUCCUGCAGUAGACCCAUAACCUCUGGCUGUGUUACUUAAAUCCCCAAAUCUUGAUUUAAAGACUGCAAGUUUCAGAGAAUCCACCAUUUACUUUGCUCUAGUUCAAGCCAGCCAGUGACUUGUGCCCCAUGCUGCCAAGGAUGGUGAAAGACUCCCUGAAUCUCUGUCAAUCUGAUCUGGAGGGAAAUUCUUUCCCAACUCUAAAUAUGGCAGUCAAUUGGACUUGAGCAUGUGGGAGAGACCCACCAAACACCUGAGAAAGAAUUCUCCGUAGUAACUCAGAGCCCUCCCCAUCUAGUGUCCUAUUUCUGGCCAUUGGAGAUAUUUGCCACUAUAAGCAAUCAUCAUAACAUCCCCUCUAUAAACUUAUCAAGCUCAGUCUUAAAACACAUUAUGUAUUUUUGCCCCCCUUGGAGGGCUGUUCCAGAAUUUCAUUCCUCUGACCACCAGAAACCUAAAUUUCUAGUCUAAGCUUCUUGAUGGCUAAUUAUAUCCAUUUGUUCUUGUUCCAACUUUGGACCUUAAUUUAAAGACUCUUUCCCUGCUGUUUAUCCCUCUGAUGAAUUUAGAGCAAUCAUUUCUCCUCAACCUUCAUUUGGUUAAGAUAAACAAGACACGCUCCUUACGUUGAGAGGCUGCUCAACACCUUGCAUAUUCUGGUCUGAAAUGUAUGUUGGUUUCCCCUCAACCUAAAACUGGGAUGAUAAUACUUACCAUUAGGUAUAGGUGACCAGACAGCAAGUAUGAAAAAUCGGGAUGGGGUGGGGGAUAAUAGGAGCCUAUAUAAGAAAAAGACCCCAAAAUCAGGAUUGUCCCUAUAAAAUCAGGACACCAGGUCGCCCUAAUUAGGUAGGGCACAGAAUUGAGUGACAAGGCAUGGGAUUCUAAUUCACUUAACCCCUCUGCAUUCAGUUUGUCCUCCUAUAACUAUAUAUAUUUGUUAUCCAUUCUAAAAUGCUUGGAGAUUCUCAGACAGUAAGUGUCAAGCAUUAUUGAUCAUCCUGUGAUGGGAGACACUAUACGUAAAUACUAGCUCCUGAAGGAAUCCUACUGUGAGCAUGGGAGUAGGAUCCUUAUACUGCUAGUGUUAAAAAUUAACAAAAUAUAUGAACUCUCCAGUAACUGCGUACUUAUCUCAAAUCUUACCGUUUCUGUAAGGAAUGUAAUAUAAAGUUUGUUCUCUAUUUUGGUGCAGUUUUCAGUUAAAAAAAAAUCCAUACUUGAAAGUUUGUUACAAGUCAUUGCAAUUUUGGGUUGUUAAAAAAAUUGAUCUUUAGUUCCUUGAGACCUGUUUUUCUGCAAUCCUACCAAAUGCCAAGAGCCAUAAGUGUGAGCCAUAAGAACUAUUCUCACUUCAAAGUGAAAUCUAUGUAUUUCAAUUUCUGUACAUGUUAAAAAACAGAUCCAAUUUAUUUCAAAGAUCAACAUUUUUGAUCUUUCAAGCUAAAAUAAAAUAGUCACUUCUCUCA
Molecule: long non-coding RNA, 15278 nt
Organism: Chelonia mydas (Green sea turtle)
Lineage: Eukaryota; Metazoa; Chordata; Testudines; Cheloniidae
Exons: 2
Source: RefSeq, a predicted model, not a curated record